This 520-nucleotide ribosomal RNA is filed under the name uncultured bacterium. RNAcentral describes it as "bacterial SSU rRNA". It matches the Rfam family "Bacterial small subunit ribosomal RNA", at positions 988 to 1509 of the family's 1533-position model. The record is from RNAcentral.
CCAGAGAACUUAGCAGAGAUGCUUGGUGCCUUCGGGAACUCUGAGACAGGUGCUGCAUGGCUGUCGUCAGCUCGUGUUGUGAAAUGUUGGGUUAAGUCCCGCAACGAGCGCAACCCUUAUCCUUUGUUGCCAGCGGUUCGGCCGGGAACUCAAAGGAGACUGCCGGUGAUAAACCGGAGGAAGGUGGGGAUGACGUCAAGUCAUCAUGGCCCUUACGGCCAGGGCUACACACGUGCUACAAUGGCGCAUACAAAGAGAAGCGACCUCGCGAGAGCAAGCGGACCUCAUAAAGUGCGUCGUAGUCCGGAUUGGAGUCUGCAACUCGACUCCAUGAAGUCGGAAUCGCUAGUAAUCGUAGAUCAGAAUGCUACGGUGAAUACGUUCCCGGGCCUUGUACACACCGCCCGUCACACCAUGGGAGUGGGUUGCAAAAGAAGUAGGUAGCUUAACCUUCAGGAGGGCGCUUACCACUUUGUGAUUCAUGACUGGGGUGAAGUCGUAACAAGGUAAGCGUAGCGAG